GUCGCUGUCUGUAUGCUGGACCUAAUGAAAUUGGAUAUUUGGCUCCUCAUCUGUUUCCUGACCAGGGUUUGAAUCCUGCUAAUGGAUUAGCACCAGGAAACUCCUGCCAGGGGCCAGCGAAAUAGACCAGCACCUACCAUGUUUUGGGGAAUGGUAAUUCAAUUUGGUUAGCUCACCUCGUUGCUCUCUAGAGAUUGCUUGUGGUGGCUGGGGCACUUGUGAGCUGAGUUGAGGUAGAAGACCGGAGAGUGUGUUCCUUCCUCUGCGCAAGGAUUCUUUGUUGAGAAAGCUGAAUGUCUGCAACCAGAUCGGCAUCGGCAAACAUACAAUAUCUCAACAUCGAUUCCCUAAUCUGUCAGGAUUUGUUGAAAAGAAGCAGGGCUUUAAUCACAAAAUAUAGGACAAAAUACAGUAAAAUGUGUUUAUCUUUUUAAUCACAAAGCUUCACCAUGUCAGCCAACACGACAUACUGUUAAUAUCUAGUACUGUGUGUAGAAUUGUUUGCUUUUUCCAUUGGCUGACUAAGGUUUCAUAAGGUUUUCAUGUUCCCAAAUGGCAGUGACAUUGUAUUGAACUUGAUGUCUACGCCCUAUGGUUGGCAGCAUCUUACUUCAGACAGAUUAGAGAGACCAGACAAGUAAACACAGUGGUUUCCCUAGUUCCCCUAAAACAUCAUUGAGCUGUUGUCAA
Long non-coding RNA from Esox lucius (northern pike), 690 nucleotides. RefSeq lists it as uncharacterized. NCBI's taxonomy places the organism in Eukaryota, Metazoa, Chordata, Actinopteri, Esociformes, Esocidae. The record is from RefSeq and is a predicted model, not a curated record. The transcript has 3 exons.